This 253-nucleotide ribosomal RNA is filed under the name uncultured bacterium. RNAcentral describes it as "partial 16S ribosomal RNA". It matches the Rfam family "Bacterial small subunit ribosomal RNA", at positions 524 to 776 of the family's 1533-position model. The record is from RNAcentral.
UACGUAGGGGGCAAGCGUUGUCCGGAUUUAUUGGGCGUAAAGAGCGUGUAGGCGGCCAGACAAGUCUGCUGUGAAAAUUCGAGGCUCAACCUCGAGCUGUCGGCGGAAACUGUCUGGCUAGAGUCCGGAAGAGGAGAGUGGAAUUCCUGGUGUAGCGGUGAAAUGCGCAGAUAUCAGGAAGAACACCUAUGGCGAAGGCAGCUCUCUGGGACGGUACUGACGCUGAGACGCGAAAGCGUGGGGAGCGAACAGG